Carlito syrichta (Philippine tarsier) is the source of this 501-nucleotide RNA transcript. Lineage: Eukaryota; Metazoa; Chordata; Mammalia; Primates; Tarsiidae. The record is from RefSeq and is a predicted model, not a curated record.
AUGGCAGCAAACGCUACUACCAACCCAUUGCAGCUGCUGUUGCUAGAGCUUAUAAACAAAUGAAUAAGAUCAAGAAUUCACAUCAGGAUGAAGAAUCAUAAGGAAAUUGUUGAUACUCUUCUAGAAUUUGAUGACUUUGUCAAUAUGGUUCUGGAAGAGGUCACUGAGUUUGAAAUCACACCAGAAGGAAGAAGGAUUACUAAAUUAGAUCAGACUUUGCUGAAUGGAAAUAACACAACAAUGCUGGUUCCAGGAGGAGAAGGACCUGAAGUGCAAAUGGGUUUCCUUGACUUAUGCUAGAUUUUGUUUUGUCUUUUAAUGGCAGCAAAAUAUAAGUUGUUGUUUUUUUUCAACUUUUUAAUAUUUAGAUCCUAUAAAGCUAAGUUUCCCAUUAAAGGGAAAUGCUUUGAAGAUAUAUACCCAUUUUUGUAAAUUAAUCAUAAUUAUCUUGGAAAGAGGAGAAUUCUUCUUUGAAAGAUUAAAAUAAAGAUGUUUUUGGUU